GUUCCUGAGCUCCACAGCAGUGGUUCUGUUAAUAGAACAAGAUACUAAAGGUUCCUGAGCUCCACAGCAGUGGUUCUGUUAAUAGAACAAGAUACUAAAGGUUCCUUAGCUCCACAGCUGUUGUUCUGUUAAUAGAACAAGAUACUAAAGGUUCCUUAGCUCCACAGCAGUGGUUCUGUUAAUAGAACAAGAUACUAAAGGUUUAACUAAAGGUUCCUGAGCUCCACAGCAG
Molecule: long non-coding RNA, 232 nt
Organism: Sebastes umbrosus (honeycomb rockfish)
Lineage: Eukaryota; Metazoa; Chordata; Actinopteri; Perciformes; Sebastidae
Exons: 3
Source: RefSeq, a predicted model, not a curated record